RNAcentral lists this ribosomal RNA (635 nucleotides) under uncultured eukaryote. RNAcentral's name for it is "bacterial SSU rRNA". It matches the Rfam family "Eukaryotic small subunit ribosomal RNA", at positions 392 to 1044 of the family's 1831-position model. The record is from RNAcentral.
UUACCGAACCGUCGGCAUCCCAUCCAGGAGGCAGCAGGCACGCAAAUUACCCACUCCCGGCACGGGGAGGUAGUGACGAAAAAUAACAAGCUGGUCUCAAUGAGUUCCGGCAUUGUAAUGGGAACAAUUUAAAUCAUUUAUCGAGGAUCUAUUGGAGGGCAAGUCUGGUGCCAGCAGCCGCGGUAAUUCCAGCUCCAAUAGCGUAUAUUAAAGUCGUUGCGGUUAAAAAGCUCGUAGUUGGAUCUAGGAUUAGGGCUACGGUCGUUCAACUGGACGCACUGUAUGCCCGACUCCUUUUCUCUAGUAUUCGAUUGUUGCUCUUAAAUGAGUGACUUUAGUUGCUGGAACUUUUACCUUGAAAAAAUUGAAGUGCUCAAAGCAGGUUUUGCCUGAACAUUGCUGCAUGGGAUAAUAGAAUAGGAUUUUGGUCCUAUUUCUGUUGGGUUUCGGGACACGAAAUUAUGAUUAAUAGGGACAGACGGGGGCAUUCCUAUUGCUGCGUUAGAGUGAAAUUCUUGGAUCGCAGCAAGACGAACUACUGCCAAAACAUAUGCCAUGAUGUUUUAUUAAUCAUAAAAAAAAUUUGAGGUUCUAGGCGGCAGAUACCGCCCUCCUUCUAACCGUAAACAAGGCAG